This 431-nucleotide long non-coding RNA is filed under the name Setaria viridis. Its description in RNAcentral is "long non-coding RNA (SVIR_LNC000466)". The record is from RNAcentral. Lineage: Eukaryota; Viridiplantae; Streptophyta; Magnoliopsida; Poales; Poaceae.
UUUUGUCGAAAUAAACUAUAUUGCCAUGGAAACAUAUGUGGUGGCAAUAAUUCAUUUUGCAACAGACAAUAUUACGUUAUCACAGAUUCUAUGGCAACACAAUUUGUAUCAAACCAAAUCCAAUGUAGCAAAAAUUGAAUUUUUCAAAUUCGUCUCUGGUAGAGAUAAUACAAUAUAGCCAAACAUCUAACAGAUCGACAAUACAAUAUAGCCAAAUAUCUAUCAGAUCGACAACCUUUACUACCUAUGCCACAAACAAUAUGGUCCAGCAUCCAUUCAUGUUAGCAUGACAGCAUCUACCAAAAACAGCAUCCAUUCAUGUUUGCAUAACUUGAAGAGGCAAUCCAAGCUCCCCGGAUAGUCAUCGUCUUGUCUAUGAGAUUCAGGCCCGUCAUCUGCAAGCCGUUCUGCUCCUCCCCGUCAUCUCCCAC